UGGACAGGGGAUAAGACAGGCCAGGGGCAAUCCAGCCCCAGCUCUGUGGCCUAAGAAGGGCGUCUCUGUGUGUCACCAUGGCCUGGAUCCCCAUCCUCCUCGUGCUCCUCUGUCACUGCACAGGUUCCCUGUCCCAGCCUGUCGUGACUCAGCCAGCCUCCCUCUCUGCAUCUCUGGGAGCCACAGCCAGACUCACCUGCACCCUGAGCAGGGACAUCAGUGUUGGAGGCUACUACAUAUACUGGUACCAACAGAAUCCAGGGAGCCCUCCCCGGUAUCUCCUGUACUACUACUCCAACUCAGAUAAGCACCAGGGCCCUGGGGUCCCCAGCCGCUUCUCUGGGUCCAAAGAUGCCUCGGCCAAUGCAGGGCUUCUGCUCAUCUCUGGGCCGCAGCCUGAGGACGAGGCUGACUAUUACUGUGCUACAGGUUAUGGCAGUGGGAGCAGCUACCGUUACUCACAGUGACUCAGAUAAUGAGGA
Neofelis nebulosa (Clouded leopard) is the source of this 482-nucleotide non-coding RNA. Lineage: Eukaryota; Metazoa; Chordata; Mammalia; Carnivora; Felidae. The record is from the annotation of a RefSeq genome assembly.